Molecule: ribosomal RNA, 524 nt
Filed under: uncultured Actinomycetes bacterium
Lineage: Bacteria; Bacillati; Actinomycetota; Actinomycetes
Description: bacterial SSU rRNA
Rfam family: Bacterial small subunit ribosomal RNA
Source: RNAcentral
UAGGGAAUCUUGCGCAAUGGGCGAAAGCCUGACGCAGCAACGCCGCGUGCGGGAAGAAGGCCUUCGGGUUGUAAACCGCUUUUGGCAGGAACGAAAAUGACGGUACCUGCAGAAUAAGGUGCGGCCAACUACGUGCCAGCAGCCGCGGUGACACGUAGGCACCAAGCGUUGUCCGGAUUUAUUGGGCGUAAAGAGCUCGUAGGCGGUUCAGUUAGUCGGGUGUGAAAACUCUGGGCUUAACCCGGAGACGCCACCCGAUACUGCUGGACUUGAGUUCGGUAGGGGAGCGGGGGAAUUCCUGGUGUAGCGGUGAAAUGCGCAGAUAUCAGGAGGAACACCGGUGGCGAAGGCGCCGCUCUGGGCCGAAACUGACGCUGAGGAGCGAAAGCGUGGGUAGCAAACAGGAUUAGAUACCCUGGUAGUCCACGCCGUAAACGUUGGGCACUAGGUGUGGGUUCCAACCAACGGAAUCCGUGCCGUCGCUAACGCAUUAAGUGCCCCGCCUGGGGAGUACGGCCGCAAGG